This 418-nucleotide small RNA is filed under the name Vigna angularis var. angularis. RNAcentral describes it as "Non-protein coding transcript". Lineage: Eukaryota; Viridiplantae; Streptophyta; Magnoliopsida; Fabales; Fabaceae. The record is from RNAcentral.
AGAGCCUUCGGUAAUAUCUUCGAUUAAUUUUCCCAAAUCACGAUAUUCCCUCUCUGCAAUUUUAUUCGCACCAAGACCUAAUGUUCGUCGCUUCCUCAAGGUGAAACGAAAACCCUAAACCCUUCUUCAUUGCACGAAAGACUUGCUCGAAAAUAUUUGUUUUUGCAUCAAUUCUAGCCAGUAAACCGUUGGAGGAGUGCUUUGCAGUGAUCUCUGUGACGACGUGAGGCUCCAUUAGAGUUGAAUCGUGGUGAGACGAGGGUUUGGUGAUUGGUGGAGGCUUCGUGGUUCGUCAACGUUGGCGUGAGGAGGCGACAGUGCUGAGCAAGGUCUCCCUGGUCCGUUCAGCGAGGUGAAGAUUUGGUGCAGCUGUGGGCUUGGACGAAUAAGCCAUCUCGUUCUCCGCAAAUCAAACUAG